RNAcentral lists this ribosomal RNA (492 nucleotides) under uncultured bacterium. Its description in RNAcentral is "partial 16S ribosomal RNA". It matches the Rfam family "Bacterial small subunit ribosomal RNA", at positions 29 to 507 of the family's 1533-position model. The record is from RNAcentral.
AGUGAACGCUGGCGGUAGGCCUAACACAUGCAAGUCGAACGGCAGCACAGUAAGAGCUUGCUCUUACGGGAGGCGAGUGGCGGACGGGUGAGGAAUACAUCGGAAUCUACUUUUUCGUGGGGGAUAACGUAGGGAAACUUACGCUAAUACCGCAUACGACCUACGGGUGAAAGCAGGGGAUCUUCGGACCUUGCGCGAUUGAAUGAGCCGAUGUCGGAUUAGCUAGUUGGCGGGGUAAAGGCCCACCAAGGCGACGAUCCGUAGCUGGUCUGAGAGGAUGAUCAGCCACACUGGAACUGAGACACGGUCCAGACUCCUACGGGGGGCAGCAGUGGGGAAUAUUGGACAAUGGGCGCAAGCCUGAUCCAGCCAUACCGCGUGGGUGAAGAAGGCCUUCGGGUUGUAAAGCCCUUUUGUUGGGAAAGAAAAGCAGCAGGUUAAUACCCCGCUGUUCUGACGGUACCCAAAGAAUAAGCACCGGCUAACUUCGUG